Molecule: long non-coding RNA, 1464 nt
Filed under: Oncorhynchus mykiss (rainbow trout)
Lineage: Eukaryota; Metazoa; Chordata; Actinopteri; Salmoniformes; Salmonidae
Description: lncRNA (ENSOMYG00000077749.1)
Source: RNAcentral
AUGAGAGGGCCUGAGUGGUACCUCACUGUGUCCUCCCGGUGGGUUGUGUUUCACACUGAGGCUACCCAUGGUGUGUGUAUACCCAUCUGUCCAUGUUGUUUUAAAAAUCUGUUGUGUGGGUGUGUGCCUGAACACAGUGUCGGUAAGUGUUUGUGUGUGACUGUGAAUAGGAUAGAGUAUAUAUUAAUGAGUGAUACUUUGGCUAUUUGUGUGAAAAACUCAUCCUCUGCAACAGUCCAACUUGGAGAGACAUUUGAAAAUAUUGUUGUCAGUUCAGUUGCAUUUCUCUCUCUCUCCUUCCUUUUCUCUGCUCUCUCUUUCUGUAAUUUCUUCCUUUUCUCUGCUCUCUCUUUCACUUCUCCUUUUCUGCUCUCUGUUACUUAUUUUCUGCUCUCUCUGUUACUUAUUUUCUGCUCUCUCUGUUACUUCUUUUCUGCUCUCUCUGUUACUUCUUUUCUGCUCUCUCUGUUACUUCUUUUCUGCUCUCUCUUACUUCUUUUCUGCUCUCUCUUACUUCUUUUCUGCUCUCUCUGUUACUUCUUCUCUGCUCUCUCUGUUACUUAUUUUCUGCUCUCUCUGUUACUUAUUUUCUGCUCUCUCUGUUACUUAUUUUCUGCUCUCUCUGUUACUUAUUUUCGGCUCUCUCUGUUACUUCUUUUCUGCUCUCUCUGUUACUUCUUUUCUGCUCUCUCUGUUACUUCUUUUCUGCUCUCUGUUACUUCUCCUUCUCUGCUCUCUCUGUUACUUCUUUUCUGCUCUCUGUUACUUCUCCUUCUCUGCUCUCUCUGUUACUUAUUUUCUGCUCUCUCUGUUACUUAUUUUCUGCUCUCUCUUAUCUGCUCUCUCGCUCUGUCACUUCUCUGCUCUCUUAUCUGCUCUCUCGCUCUGUCACUUCUCUGCUCUCUCUCACUUCUUCUCUGCUCUCUCUGUCACUUCUUCUCUGCUCUCUCUCACUUCUUCUCUGCUCUCUGUCACUUCUUCUCUGCUCUCUCUCACUUCUUCUCUGCUCUCUCUCACUUCUUCUCUGCUCUCUCUCACUUCUUCUCUGCUCUCCCUGUCACUUCUUAUCUGCUCUCCCUGUCACUUCUUCUCUGCUCUCUCUCACUUCUUCUCUGCUCUCUCUCACUUCUUCUCUGCUCUCUCUCACUUCUUCUCUGCUCUCUGUCACUUCUCUGCUCUCUCUUUCUGUCACUUCUCUGCUCUCUCUGUCACUUCUUCUCUGCUCUCUCUGUCACUUCUUCUCUGCUCUCUGUCACUUCUCUGCUCUCUCGCUCACUUCUCUGCUCUCUCGCUCACUUCUCUGCUCUCUCGCUCACUUCUCUGCUCUCUCUCUCACUUCUUCUGCUCUCUCUCACUUUUUCUGCUCUUUCUCUCCCUCACUUCUCUGCUCUCACACUUCUCUGCUCUCUCUCUCUCACUUCUCUGCUCUCUGUCACUUCUUCUUCUCUGCUCUCUUCAAUUUGA